Molecule: non-coding RNA, 211 nt
Organism: Pelobates cultripes (western spadefoot toad)
Lineage: Eukaryota; Metazoa; Chordata; Amphibia; Anura; Pelobatidae
Source: the annotation of a GenBank genome assembly
CAAACCUCCCUGCAUCAGUCUGGGCGCCUAAAGAACUGCGGCGUUCUGCGCAAGGCACACUCCCCACGACUAAACUGAUGUACACCUGCUGGGACGCACACAGGACUGCCCUGUGCUCGGCCAGGCCUUGGUCCAUGGCAAUCCCGCUGCGCACCAUCGGGCUGUGCAACGACACGUUCCCUUACAGAGCCUGGCAAAGAUGCAAUAUCAC